RNAcentral lists this ribosomal RNA (514 nucleotides) under uncultured bacterium. Its description in RNAcentral is "partial 16S ribosomal RNA". It matches the Rfam family "Bacterial small subunit ribosomal RNA", at positions 28 to 523 of the family's 1533-position model. The record is from RNAcentral.
GAUGAACGCUGGCGGCGUGCCUAAUACAUGCAAGUCGAGCGAACAGAUGAGAAGCUUGCUUCUCUGAUGUUAGCGGCGGACGGGUGAGUAACACGUGGGUAACCUACCUAUAAGACUGGGAUAACUCCGGGAAACCGGGGCUAAUACCGGAUAAUAUUUUGAACCGCAUGGUUCAAUAGUGAAAGACGGUUUCGGCUGUCACUUAUAGAUGGACCCGCGCCGUAUUAGCUAGUUGGUAAGGUAACGGCUUACCAAGGCGACGAUACGUAGCCGACCUGCGAGGGUGCUCGGCCACGCUGGAACUGGGACACGGUCCAGACUCCGACGGGAGGCAGCAGUAGGGAAUCUUCCGCAAUGGGCGAAAGCCUGACGGAGCAACGCCGCGUGAGUGAUGAAGGUCUUCGGAUCGUAAAACUCUGUUGUUAGGGAAGAACAAAUUUGUUAGUAACUGAACAAGUCUUGACGGUACCUAACCAGAAAGCCACGGCUAACUACGUGCCAGCCGCCGCAGUAA